GGGUGGAUUUCUAGCAGACACUGACAUUUUCCACUGCUUUCCCAGGCAACUCCUCACAUAAGAGAUUUGGAUUUGUACAGAGAAGAAGAAAAACUAAAAGGAACUGGUAACAGACCGGGAAGGAUCUUUUAUUCUGUCUAGAAAAUCUACAUUCGAGACUUAAGAAGGGAAAGCAGCAGACACACUGCUUGGGCUUGUGUGCCAUCUGGCUUGACCCUGAUCCCUGACAACGGGAUGGCCACUGAGUGUGAAAAGUCAGACCGCUGUGAUCUACUUCAGCUUAAAAACUGCGCCUGAUUGAAGACAGCACAAGGAACAGUACAGGAGAGAGACCAAGCACACACGUGAACGUCACAUUCAUUUGUUCUGCAGUUCCAGAAACACGCUGAGAAGAAUGAAUCCCAGCAGUCCACGGUGUGAAGAAAAGAAAUGUGGAUAGUUGCUUGCGUGAGCUGGUGUCAUUCAGGAUGAACCAUAUGAGCAAGACAGCCCUUUGCGCACUAGAGCGUGAGAACAUACUACCAGUAAAAGAAAUCACACCCUGCUCCCCCAUGAAUACCUCUCUGGUGAGUGCUGCAGGAGGGAUUGGUGAGAGCUCUGUGUCAUCAAGUGAGCAUUGGCCAUGGCCUGGUUUCCUGUGCAGAGAGCUCAUUCCUCCUGGUGUGGGACCACUGUGUGUGCCGUCCUGGGGGGAGAUGAGAAAGAGCAUAUGUGAUGCACAUGGAUGGGUAUUUUGGUUUUGGAAGGUCUGAUCGGUGGGUUGGUGAAGAAAACCAGAGAGGAGUAUCAUCUCACAUCAGUAUGACUUGAAAUCUGACAUGACUCUUACACCUUCAGUACUGUGUGUUUUCCAUGGGUUGUUUCUUGGCUUGGAGGUAGCUUUGUGAUUCUGUUUAGAUAGUCUGCUGUGCUCUGUGGAACACCAGGAGGCCUAAGAAAAAGAAACUGUUCACAGGAAAGUGAACCCGGUGACAGAUUCAUGAAGUGCAUGUCCUAGUGGCAGCGACCUCUCAAAUCCCUGCCGUGGAUCACUGUUCAGAAUAGGGAGGGUGUGAUGGAAGCGCUAACAUGGAAGUGGUCAGGCAGCCUUUGGGAAAUUAUUCCUUAUCCUUCCUCUUCGUGGCCUGGUAAAAGGAGGUACUCUGGCAUACCUCCACAGUAUUUCUAAGAGAUCGUGUUUAAGCAUCUGUACAUGAUUUUCCCCUUUGAUAGUGUUUUACUGCUAGCAGCACCGAGGUCUCCUCUUCACAAGUCAGCAAGUCAUGGAGUUGUCAGUAGUGAUUCCAACUGCUCCCAGCCUGGAACUCAGACUCAGUGCUUCCAGGAGAAGGUCAAAUGUUUGCGUAGACUAGUCUGACAUACCUCUUGUACAGUGAUUUUUCCAGUAAUAAGCACAUAGACGUGGCUUUACGUGGAUGACUACAAGGUCGUUGUCAUCUCUCAUCUCAUGGUUAUCAGUAUAAAAACACUGAGUCAUUCUGUGUAGUCAGCAUUCCUGUUGUGGGUACAGCUCUUUUUUUUUUUUUUUUUUUUGGUCCCAGUGAACCACAUUGGCUCCUCAUUACCAGAAAUCUUAAAAUACUUUGCCAACAUUUGCUGAAAUUGUCCUUCAGGUACAGUCACACAGAGGGCUCUCUUUUAUUUUCAGCCACAAGGGAAACAUCAGACUGGUCCCACAGCAGUGGGAUGUGGCCGUGGGAUGCGUGCAGAGACCAAUGCAGGGCCUUCAGGUCUACCUAAGCUCUGUGACCACAGUGCUCUAUGGUGCAUUAAUCUGUUGCAAGAGAUUCCUACGAGACUUUUUAAAACUACAUCUAAAUGUAAAGAUUCCUUACGGAUGUGAGGCAGAGUGUAACAUUUACGUUCCAACGGAUGGCUGAGGAUGAGAAUAAAGAACUGGUAGCAAAGAGGGUUGUAUCUCGAUUUUUCCAUAGAGAUGUUUUCAGGCUCUGAGAACGUGCCCGUGCGUUUGUGCUGUCAAAAAAGAAAUAAGCAGUAUGAGCUUUUCCGGGAUCAGAAACAGAUUUAGUUGUAAAUAUCUGGCAUCAGAACACCAACCCAAAACAACAAGGAAGCCUGAGGCGUUCUGUAGCGGCUAGUUACGGCAACUGCCUUGAGGAGCCUUCUAUAGAUGGCUUUAAUGUAUUGCCCUCUACCGGAACUACCGAAGAUUGCAGGCUGACGCUCAGCGCGGAGAAAUCUCUCGGGCAGGAGAGCCGUGAGAUGGAUACAAACGCGUUGUUUCACCCUGCUCAGCAGAAUCGAAUGCUUCUGGGUUUGGAAUCCAAAGAGGGGCUCGGGUUUUGUUCUGGCUUGCUGAAGGGAUAUUCAUUUCUUUGGAGAAGAAUCCGUGUAGGCAGGAGAGAGAUCCAAAGUUAUCAGCUUGCCCAGAAAAUGGGUAUUGUAUCCUUCAACUUACAGGAAAAGAAAAAAAGAAAGCUUUCUGAGUUGCAGAGGCAGAUGGGUUCAGAGCUGAUGAGAGAAUUGUUGCGUGAAACGCUGAGGAAAAGUUCUCUUUGGGUCCUUUGCCUCGGAUCAUUAUUUUUUUAUUAUUAUUAUUACUAUGUUUGCGUUCAAAAAGAAUGCAAGGCUUUCCCUUACUGAAAGGUUUUUAUUAUUAUUAUUAAUAAUAAUCAUCCAGCAGCACUCAACUGAGACCAUUUUCCCCAUUAAAGGUUUAGGUCACUCAAUGCAUACUUUGUUACUGAGAUCUAAGGAAGAAAUGAAUCCCACGUAGGUGCAUUCUUAUAUUAAAACAAGGAAGAGAUUUAAAUGUUUGGCUCAUCCUGAAUCCACAGUAAAAUCUUCAGUGUUUCUCCCACCACAGGUGCCUAAAUCCUACUGCUAUUAUUCCACGAAGCUGUUAUUCCUAUUGUCACAGCUUUGGUUGUAUGACUUGAACUUUUAAACUAAAUUAUAAAAAUAAGUCAGAAAUGUACCGAAAUGAGACCUUUUAUUGAUGCAGUUCUAACAUGGAAAGCUUGACCCAAUGCUCUGUUUAAGGAAAGUUUUGCAUGAAGCUGUGGAAGUAUUUCAUUACUGUAUGGGUGAAUUCUCCGAUUUUACACAUUGGAAUAAUCCCUUAAAAGAAAACCUGCUUUCCAUACAAGGAAUUGGAGAAUGUGUGAAUUACUCGUGGCAGCAAGCUGAAGACCUGACUUGUUUUGUGUAAAAGAUGAAAGAUCAGGUCACCACUCUUGGCCCUGUAAAACGCACUGGUUGUAGUUUCAUUGCACCCAUUUAAUUCACAGGUUUUGUAUUCUUGUUCAGCCUUAGCAAGGUCAUCCGAGCCCCUGAAAGGAAAAGAAAAAAAUAUUGAAAGGACAGAUUUAAAGAACCAAGCUAAUAGAGUUUUGUAUUUGUUGGAUUUCUCAGAAGUAAACCAGUAGAACAUCUCUAAGUAAACAAACACGUUUAGGUGUUCUUCAUUCCAAAGGCUAUUUAGCAGUCCUAUAGUACUGUCUGCAGUUUGUUGUGGCAUCCUUGCUGGAACCAAGAAUUUAUGAGUGUCAUUCUGCUCUUCUUAGCUCAAAGUGUUGAACUCUGCUUUUCGUGACUUUGAAUGAACAGGGUAAAAGCUAGGAGGACUCACCUGUAUUUUUAAGGAAGCCGUACUGAUGUUGUUUUUACCUUAGCAUUUCAUAAAGCAUAUUUUGAUUGCUGAAGUAGCUGUGAUACCCGUGUCAAUAAAAGCGUGCUAGCACGCAGUAUCUCCUUAUGCAGCGUGUCAAAGUUGGAGAUGUGUUGUGAAAGUCCCUCAAAUAUCUCUGUCCAAGGAUGAUGUAAAAAGACGCGUUUACAGAAUUUACUCCAGUGAGUUGCUCAUAGAAACAGAGAGGGGUCCUGCAAAAUUCUGGUUUGAGGCCAAAAUGCAGAACUAUCCUAGAUGUGUCUCGUUACCUAGCGGGGCGUUUUCAUAGGUGUCUUGUAUUUAUUGCAUAGGCAUCUUGUAUCUAUUGCAUCCCCUCACAGAGUAGGGAAACGGAAGGAUCUGUUCUGUCUGUUUCUUGAGCAGGGAAUGAGACUUUGCUGGAGGUAAACUGACGUGUAAAGGAAUAGCGACCUUGGCAGCCCGACAGAUGACCUUACUUCAAUUUUAGGUCCUUAACUUUUCUUUUUCUUUUUGUGAAACAAAUGUGAAGUUAAUUGUUUUACAUUAGACGUUCCAUUUGACACUGGGUGAGACUGAGGAAAACAAAAGUAACUAUGUAGCAAAUAAAGUCUACAUACUUGAUGUAUGGCACACAACAACUGUCUUCCUUCUUUCUUUUUUUGACACUGUUGCCGUUAGAGUGAAACCCUGGCAAUCUCGUGUUCACUGAAGAAGGUAUUUUCUGCUGGAGGCUGACAAAGCGAUAGAACAGUAUUCAGCCUAUUUAAUAAAAUACGAUACUUUGUUUUUGUAAUUAGUCUUUAUUGUGAAAAAUGAUAUGUAGUGCAGUUCACCUUUCUUACACUGCGUCUUACAGUGAUACGUACGUAUAGAAUACAUCUAAAUUUGCCUUUAAAAAUAAGUAAAUAAGUAAAGAUCACAGACGUAAAAUGUCUUGAGUGCGAUUACUUUAUGAACCGUGAAAAGUAAUUGAAGAUAUUUUGGUAAUGUUUUCUGCCAAGAAGCAGUUCCUGCUUUUCACCUGUGUAAAUAAGUGGGAGAUAAAGUUCAGCAGUUUUCUGUCAUCAAAACACUGUGACUGUAGGUUACACGUGGCUCCAGAGAUGUUCCAAAAGCCAGCAGAAUCUUGCUCCUCUAACGUGAGGUUUAGGCAGCAAACACAAGGUACCAUUGCUG
This is a long non-coding RNA of Gallus gallus (chicken), 4789 nucleotides long. RefSeq lists it as uncharacterized. The transcript is spliced from 3 exons. NCBI's taxonomy places the organism in Eukaryota, Metazoa, Chordata, Aves, Galliformes, Phasianidae. The record is from RefSeq and is a predicted model, not a curated record.